This is a long non-coding RNA of Etheostoma spectabile (orangethroat darter), 315 nucleotides long. RefSeq lists it as uncharacterized. The transcript is spliced from 3 exons. NCBI's taxonomy places the organism in Eukaryota, Metazoa, Chordata, Actinopteri, Perciformes, Percidae. The record is from RefSeq and is a predicted model, not a curated record.
UUAUUUACAUAUUCUCAAAAAGAAAAAUCAAUAACAAACGUCAUCUCCUCGGCUGUGAAGCGCUCCUGGCGUGCGCCCAUGGAUGUAUUAAGAGGGAAUCCACCAUUAUAAUAGCAAUCUGCUACGGUACAAGCGCGCCUGCUUUUAAAGGAAUAGUGAAAUAACGCUCUGAACCACACCUAUGAGUAAUGUAGCUACUUCAGACCAACCCAUUUUAGAUUUGCAUCGGCCGCAAGAGUCAUUUAUCCCGCCGGUGUAAUAGCAACAGCGUCCGGGAUCCGCCCACAAAGCUACUUGCAUUUUGCGUCUCAUACU